AUGAUAUGCACUUUAUUCCAUUUUCCUCUUCACGCGAAAUCAUUCCGACUUCCAUCUACUGAGGAUAAUACAGAUUUUCAACUAUCCAUGUGGAAUGACCAAUUUAUUUCAUGUUAUAUAAGCAAUUUGUAGCUUGCCAAAUCAAUAACACAUUUAUGACUUUCCAAACCAUGGCCGAUCUAAAAUCACAGCCGUGCCAACAACAAUGGUCAUAUAU
RNAcentral lists this long non-coding RNA (217 nucleotides) under Carica papaya (papaya). RNAcentral describes it as "long non-coding RNA (CPAP_LNC010972)". The record is from RNAcentral. Lineage: Eukaryota; Viridiplantae; Streptophyta; Magnoliopsida; Brassicales; Caricaceae.